This 141-nucleotide transfer RNA is filed under the name Phragmites australis (common reed). RNAcentral's name for it is "tRNA-Lys". The record is from RNAcentral. Lineage: Eukaryota; Viridiplantae; Streptophyta; Magnoliopsida; Poales; Poaceae.
UUUAACCGGAUCUGUUCAUUUUGGUAUUACUUCCAUCGAUUUUUGGAUUUCGAUCGUAUCUAAGAUCCUAUUUUAUCUGGGUUGCUAACUCAAUGGUAGAGUACUCGGCCGGGUUCGAGUCCCGGGCAACCCAUAUGGAAA